AUACUUGACAAAGAAACAAAAUCCCAUAGGUCUGGUGGACGAACACAAGGAACACAGAAAAAAUUAAAAUUUAUGCACCACACCCGAAACACAACUUUAAAAGCUCACAUUAACAUCCGGGAGGUAUAACAAACCACAACAACAACCCAUUAUAAUCCUACACAGUAGGGUCUAGGAAGGAUAGUAUGUACGUAGAUCUUAUCUCUAUCCUGGGGUAGAGAGGUUGUUUCCAAA
This 234-nucleotide long non-coding RNA is filed under the name Nicotiana benthamiana. RNAcentral's name for it is "long non-coding RNA (NBEN_LNC005318)". Lineage: Eukaryota; Viridiplantae; Streptophyta; Magnoliopsida; Solanales; Solanaceae. The record is from RNAcentral.